CGGCAGGUAGCUCAGUGGUUUAGAGCAGUCGCCCGGCAAGACCCGGGUUCGAUUCCCGGUCACGCGA
RNAcentral lists this transfer RNA (67 nucleotides) under Harpegnathos saltator (Jerdon's jumping ant). It matches the Rfam family "tRNA". Rfam says of the family: Transfer RNA (tRNA) molecules are approximately 80 nucleotides in length. Their secondary structure includes four short double-helical elements and three loops (D, anti-codon, and T loops). The record is from Rfam by way of RNAcentral. Lineage: Eukaryota; Metazoa; Arthropoda; Insecta; Hymenoptera; Formicidae.